RNAcentral lists this long non-coding RNA (4744 nucleotides) under Macaca mulatta (Rhesus monkey). RNAcentral's name for it is "lncRNA (ENSMMUG00000050818.1)". The record is from RNAcentral. Lineage: Eukaryota; Metazoa; Chordata; Mammalia; Primates; Cercopithecidae.
CUGGGCUAUUUACACAACAUUUUAAUUGUUUCUCAUAAAAUAUACAACAUCACAAUCUUUACUGAAGUAGGAUAUUUUUGUAUCAUAUGCAUGAAGAUAACUUGUAGGGUAUUUUAAAUGAUGUUUUUCAGUCUCCUUCAGUUUUAAGUGGAUCUUGCAGAUGAAAACCAGUAUUAUUGAGUUUGACAUACUCAGAUUGCCCAAAUGCCAGCUGUUUAAACAGCCAAACAACCAAGUCAUCAUUGAUUCUUUAGUAAAGGUCAUCGAAGACUUAUUUGCAUGUCACAGUUUUUAUUACUUAGGAGACCUAAGGAGUACCUGCCAGGCUUGUCCAUGCUAAUGUUAUGAUUUUCUUUUUGUAGUUGAACCGUAUUUUGUGUGGUGAUGAUCUGAGGCUCUGUAAAUAUCUGGUUACUCCUCAAAACACACUAGAUUUGGCAUUUCAUGGAUGACUUGUGUUUGAGCAAUUAUUACUGCAAUGGUUGCCAGGUGAUUAUUUUCUGAUUCUCUUCUUUGUUCUACAUGGAGAAAUAAAAACAAUAAAUAAGGGAGAAGGGAAAGCUCAUGAUUCUGGUGCUCCAAUUCCCCAAGAUUAGGCCAGUGGUAGAUAUUCUAAGCUGACUCUUUAUGUCUUUUUGAUUUGUGCCUGUUACUCUGUCAGCACUUUUUUACUUUCUGGCACAAGAUGUUCUAAGAUAAUCUUGUGUUUUCUCUGCCCCAGCCCUGAAAUGAGUGAUUUUUUUUGGAAUCAGAGGUGGAGCCACUGAGGAAGCAUAGGCGAGCCCUCCCCAGCAUGUGCUCACUGGUCCUCAACAGAAGAACAGCUGCUGAAUCCACUGAGGCUCCAGUUGUGCUGGGUUGUGUCACCCCACGAUGUCACUGUUGCUGAGCCCCCAUCGCCUCUGUGUUGUGGAGCAGUUAGAGGUACACAGCAGAGUCCGUGAGUGGCUCUGCAUGAAGGACUGUUUUCUACAUGAGAAGCACAUCUCAGCACAGCUGACUCAUCAGACUCAGCAAUUCCAUUCUGAAUCUCCUCUGGACACCCCCAGGACCACCAGGACAACCCCAUCAGGGCCCUGUCACCAGGCCCAGUCUGGCUCCAUGAUAACCAAGACGCAGGUCCAGAGACAAGCGCCCUGCAUGGUGCCUGCAUGUGACUCCCCUUGGUGGGUAGUGACCAGCUCACCACGGAAGAAGCCAGGGCAGCAUGCGGCCAGCUGCCCUGCAGCCUCAGAUGACUCCUGGGCCUUAAGAAGUCAUUCUUAAAGGGAAAGCUGGUCACUUUGAGGUCCCUGGAAGGAAGGGUGAAUGUGUCAUCCCAACAGCCCUGGCAGCCAGCAGCAUGCCAUUCAUCUUCUCACCCGAUCUUUGUGACAGAGGCCACCUUCUGGGGCACAAGUCCCAUACCUAAAGGGUCCUAUCUCAGUCGGCCUCAUCCUGAGCCCUGGGAUGGGAGAGGCACCAUGCACCCCCCUGCAGCAGCCAGGAUUACCACCCAGGGGACUCAUCCUUCUGUGGCCCUGGCCAGACUUAGAAUUUGGCCCAAGACAGGACAAGCUCAGUCAGAGCAGCUUGUCAGUACCCAGAGUCUAUGUAUGCCAGACAUGGCCAAGCUGGCUCAAAGAGCAACCAGCCACCUCUGGAAGGGUGUGCCAGGAGCAGGUGGACCAGCCACCAACCUCAUCCACUCAAGUAAACAGAGAUGGCCAGCUUCUCACACCCUGAGUGACCACCACCUGACAGCUGAUGAAGUGGAGGCCUGAGGAAAAGCAGAUGGCACUGGGGCCCUGCUUUCAGGGCAGAAUAACUGAUUGACCCUGACUGGCAGUGAGUUGGUGACUGGUCCACCUGCUCCUGGCACACCCUUGCAGAGGUGGCUGGUUGCUCUUUGAGCCAGCUUGGCCUUGCCUGGCAUGCACAGGCCUCAGUGCAACAACUGCGCUGCAAAUGGAGCCACAUAGAGGAUAUGAGCAGCAGGCUCAGGAGCAGGCUGUGCGCUGCCUUUGGGGCUCCAGCCCAUGCAUCAGGGCUCCUACAGCACUGUGGGCUUCUUGGGUGCCAUGAGGCAGACCACAGGCCAUCCUGAGGAGGACUCUGGUAAGAGCUUCCUUGUGUAUGUGGAUGAUGUCCAGGAUGUUGGCCUGGUGUCCCUGAGGCAGCACUAACAGGUCCAUGACUGGGUCCAGGUCCUGCCUGGGCUGAUUGGUGAAGAUCUCCCUGGCAGCACUGAAGUGGCAUCUAUGUUCAAGUGCAGAAAGGGCCCAGUCUGGUGGAUGAACCACACGGCCAGCUUCUGGGUGUGGGCAGGAUGCCACAUCCUUUGUCACUUCCUGAUGUGCCCCACCAGCACUGAAGAGACAGCCUGGAGACAGGGCAAGAGGAAGGCUGAGAAGGAUGAGAUGGUGAGUCCCAGAUUCUUCCUGUCCCUGAGCCCACCCUGAGUGACCCUCAACCUUUAGGAAUGGGAGAGCAAGAUUGACAGCUUCAAGUACUUCACCAAGAAGAUGGACAACAGGGCACUCAGCUCAACUUCACAGCCAAUGAGUUGACAUGCAAGCAGAUGAUGGUAACAGGCUUUAAGAAAGAACAUCAGAUGGCAGCCAGUACUUCAGCCUCAGCCAGGCAUUGGAGUCAGACCAGGCCAUCCACUUUACCAUAGAGGCCUUCCACGCUAUCAGUGAGCUCUUUGCCAGUCAGCCCAGGCAGGACCUGGACCCAGUCAUGGACCUGUUAGUGCUGUCUCAGGGACACCAGACCAACAUCCUGGACAUCAUCCACAUGCACAAGGACGCUCUUACCAAAGUCAUGGAGAGCCAGCAAUAUGUGGCAGAAGUGAAGACAGAGGUGCAGAGACUGAUGACGUCAGAAUCACAGGAACAGGAUUUCUUUGGCUACUUUGGCUGAAAUUCACCACUUUCAUCCAAUUCGAGUGAGAGACAUAGACUCACAGAUGCUGCAUUUCUUGCAGCAAAAGAUACUGUUUUUUCAAAGUCACCCAGGAAUUGAUAGUGUUGAAUGACUAGAUACUCGAUCAUGGACUGUUUUGAGUUCAAGAAUUCAUUCUACAGAGAAUAAUAACACUAGAGCAAAGAGCUAGUGUCCGAUAUCGGUGGUAGCACAAAGAUGGUUUUGUGAUCAACUGAAAUCCAGCUGAAUACAGAAUUGUGUAGGAAACAGUUAAUAUGAUGAUACAAUAGAAACAGUAGCAAACAUGAAUUAAAUCAUGCUAUGAAUGCAUAAACUACCAUUGUAACUUUUGAAAGAAUGAUAAUACCACUUUACUGCUUUUUGAAGUAUGAAUAUUUUAGUGUAUGUGCUAUAGGCCUCAAAUCCUAUAAAGAAUCUCCAAGAAGUUGGCUGGAUAAAGCCUGCUGUGGAUGUCUUUAUACUCAAAGAUUGAUGAUGUAAUUUGCAUGUUUGUCCCCACCAAAUCUCCUGUUGAAUUAUAUUUCCUAUUGUGGAAGGUGGAUCCUGGUAUAAGGUGAUUGAAUUAUGAAGGCAAAUUUCUCAUGAAUGGUUCAGCACAAUCCCCUUGUAGCAUCCUCACAAUCAUGAGUAACUUCUCAUGAGAUCUAGUCACUGAAAACUCUACGUCACCUCCCUACUCUCCGUGUUUUCCUCUUGCCAUGUGAGACAACUUACUCUUUCUUUGUCUUCCACUUCCACGAUGAUUGAUAGAUGUCUGAGGCCUCCCAGAAGCAGAAGCCACUGUGCUUCCUGUCCACUCUGCAGAACCAUGAGUCAAUUCAACCUCUUUUUCAAAACAAAUCAUACAGAAAAUGGCAAAUGAGGAUUGGAGCAUUGCUAUAAAGAUACCCAAGAACAUGGAAGCAGCUUUGGGACCAUGUCAUGGGCAGAGGUUGGAAGAGUUUGGAGGGCUCAAAAGAAGACAGAUAGAUGAGAAAACUUUUGGAACAUCAUAAAGACUGGUUAAAUGGUUGUGACAAAAAUCCUGACGGAAACAUGGACAGUGAAGGCCAGGCUGAGGAGGUCUCAGAUAUAAGAAGAUUUCUGGAAAAUGUCUUUCUUUUGGAUAUGGAAAGCUUAUACAAUGUCUGUACCAUCAUUGUGCCUUAGAAGCAGUGAAUUCCCUUUCUAUUUUUGAGGCUCAUAGGCAAAAGUGACUGUUGCCUUGACUCAGAUGAGACUUUGGACUUUGUAACUUUGAGUUAAUGCUGAAAUGAAUUAAUGCUGAAAUGAAUUAAUGCUGAAAUGAGUUAAUACUCAUGCUGGAAAGGCAUGAUUGUAUUUUGCAAUGUGCGAAGGACAUGAGAUUCCUGGGAUCAGGGACUAUUCUGUCCCUGUGUCCCUACCAAAACUCAUGUGGAAUUCUAUUUCCUAAUGUUAGAGAUGGAGCCUAGGUGGCAAAAGAUUUAGUCAUAAAAGUGUAGGGGUGGAUCAUUCACGAAUGAUUAAGCACCAUCCCCUUGAUGCUGUCCUGAGAGUGAGUGAGUGCUCAUGUGAUCUGGUUGUUUAACAGGCUGUGGAACCUCUGUCCUCAUUCUGUGUUCCUCCUACUCCUGCCUUAGGAGACAUCUCGUCGUCCCUUGGCUUCAUGAUAUAGUUAGGAGGCUUCCUGAUUCCUUCCAGAAACAGAAGACACUAAGCUUCCUUCACAGCCUGCAGAAUCAUAAGUCAAUUAAUCCUCUUUUAUUUACAAUAAUACAGAAAAGUAAAACUGCGGAGAGGAGCUGUGAGAUGUCUUCAAGGUCUUUUUCCCUUUGUCUUGGCUAUUAGCACAGGG